UACUCAUGAUGAACGCUACCUACAGGCUUAACACAUGAAACUCUAGGGGCAGAUUGUUGUGUGCUUGCAAACAAUGAUGGCAACCGGCACACGGGUGAGUAAAGCAUAUCCAACCUGCCCCGCAUUAGGGAACAGCCCGGCGAAAGUCGGAUUAAUGCCCUAUGUCUUCCUUUGCAGGCAUCCAAUGAAGAAGAAACAUUUAUCUCUGCGGGAUGGGGAUGCGUCUGAUUAACUUGUCGGCGGGGUAACGGCCCACCGAGGCUACUAUCAGUAGGGGUUCUGAUAGGAAGGUCCCCCACACUGGUACUGAGACACGGACCACACUCCUACGGGAGGCAGCAGUGAGGAAUAUUGGUCAAUGGGCGAGAGCNUGAACCAGCCAAGUAGCGUGCAGGACGACUGCCCUAUGGGUUGUAAACUGCUUUUAUGCGGGGAUAGACUUCAGCACGUGUGCUGUUUUGCAGGUACCGCAUGAAUAAGGACCGGCUAAUUCCGUGCCAGCAGCCGCGGUAAUACGGAAGGUCCGGGCGUUAUCCGGAUUUAUUGGGUUUAAAGGGAGCGCAGGCGGGUUGUUAAGCGUGACGUGAAAUGUAGGGGCUCAACCUUUGAAUUGCGUCGCGAACUGGCGACCUUGAGUGGGUACGACGCGGACGGAAUUCGUGGUGUAGCGGUGAAAUGCUUAGAUAUCACGAAGAACUCCGAUUGCGAAGGCAGUCCGCGAGUCCCCAACUGACGCUAAAGCUCGAAAGUGCGGGUAUCGAACA
Molecule: ribosomal RNA, 764 nt
Filed under: uncultured bacterium
Lineage: Bacteria
Description: bacterial SSU rRNA
Rfam family: Bacterial small subunit ribosomal RNA
Source: RNAcentral